CCUACGGGAGGCAGCAGUGGGGGAUAUUUCACAAUGGGGGGAACCCUGAUGCAGCGACGCCGCGUGGGUGAAGAAACGCCUCGGCGCGUACAGCCCUGUCAGCAGGGAAGAAAAUGACGGUACCUGACUAAGAAGCCCCGGCUAACUACGUGCCAGCAGCCGCGGUAAUACGUAGGGGGCAAGCGUUAUCCGGAUUUACUGGGUGUAAAGGGAGCGUAGACGGCGAUGCAAGUCUGAAGUGAAAGGCGGGGGCCCAACCCCCGGACUGCUUUGGAAACUGUAUGGCUGGAGUGCAGGAGAGGUAAGUGGAAUUCCUAGUGUAGCGGUGAAAUGCGUAGAUAUUAGGAGGAACACCAGUGGCGAAGGCGGCUUACUGGACUGUAACUGACGUUGAGGCUCGAAAGCGUGGGGAGCAAACAGGAUUAGAUACCCCGGUAGUC
This 440-nucleotide ribosomal RNA is filed under the name uncultured bacterium. RNAcentral's name for it is "partial 16S ribosomal RNA". It matches the Rfam family "Bacterial small subunit ribosomal RNA", at positions 338 to 795 of the family's 1533-position model. The record is from RNAcentral.